UACGUAGGGGGCAAGCGUUGUCCGGAUUUAUCGGGCGUAAAGAGCGUGUAGGCGGCCAUACAGGUCCGUUGUGAAAACUGGAGGCUUAACCUCCAGACGUCGAUGGAAACCGUAUGGCUAGAGUCCGGAAGAGGAGAGUGGAAUUCCUGGUGUAGCGGUGAAAUGCGCAGAUAUCAGGAAGAACACCAAUGGCGAAAGCAGCUCUCUGGGACGGUACUGACGCUGAGACGCGAAAGCGUGGGGAGCGAACAGG
Molecule: ribosomal RNA, 253 nt
Filed under: uncultured bacterium
Lineage: Bacteria
Description: partial 16S ribosomal RNA
Rfam family: Bacterial small subunit ribosomal RNA
Source: RNAcentral